GAUGAACGCUGGCGGUGUGCCUAAUACAUGCAAGUCGUACGAACUCUGGUAUUGAUUGGUGCUUGCAUCAUGAUUUACAUUUGAGUGAGUGGCGAACUGGUGAGUAACACGUGGGAAACCUGCCCAGAAGCGGGGGAUAACACCUGGAAACAGAUGCUAAUACCGCAUAACAACUUGGACCGCAUGGUCCGAGUUUGAAAGAUGGCUUCGGCUAU
RNAcentral lists this ribosomal RNA (215 nucleotides) under uncultured bacterium. Its description in RNAcentral is "partial 16S ribosomal RNA". It matches the Rfam family "Bacterial small subunit ribosomal RNA", at positions 28 to 221 of the family's 1533-position model. The record is from RNAcentral.